RNAcentral lists this long non-coding RNA (1157 nucleotides) under Physcomitrium patens. RNAcentral describes it as "long non-coding RNA (PPAT_LNC008869)". The record is from RNAcentral. Lineage: Eukaryota; Viridiplantae; Streptophyta; Bryopsida; Funariales; Funariaceae.
CCAUAUAUCAAAUCCAACAUCCAUGUCUUACAAAUGCUUUAGAAUUGAUUUAUAUUAUUCUUAUUUUUCACAUGAGCAUAUUCAAGUUUGGAAUUUCUUUCUAUCAAUAGAUCAACUAGUGUCUUUACAAUUCAUAUUGGGAGGCACAAUGCUUAGAUAUAGGAUAUAUGGUGCCUCUUGCUAUUCGCAAUAGCUACAAAACUCAAUAACAAAAUAUAAGAUCAAAAAUUGGAAUGAGCUAAAAGGAGAAUAAGCAACAGACCUAAUAAGAUGCUCCAAGUGCAUAUAGAAUGUGAAAACUACACCUGAAUUUUAACCAAAGAUAUAUUGGAACCCAACAUCUUAUUGGAUCUACAAACAUUCCAAACUACCCUCAAAAUACUAGGCUGCCCAACUUUGGGACAACUCAGUAUUUUUCUGAGGCAGCUGCCCACCAUCCAUCCCUAUCGACAGGUAUGAAUGACAAGUACAUCAAAUUAAAAAAAAAAACUCGGAGUGGGAGAUGGGCACCUGUUCUGCGAAAUUGGAUACGGAACAGAAGGGCACAACUUCCGGAGAAAGCUAUUAAGCAGGGGUAAGCUCCAAACUGACGACUAAGUAUCUAAAACUACAACUUCAUCUUGCUAUCUGAUUCGAUGUACAGACACGGUCUUCCAACAGCGCAGUAAUCGGCGCUGUGCAGUAGAUCGAAACCAUUGCAACAUUCUCGACACACCGGAUGCAUUCUGCGAGGCUCGGAAUUGAAACACCGACAAGAUGACCAAUGAAUUGACACUACAAGUCCCCAGCAAACCGAAGUUGUCCCGCCUCGCAGCUCGUUUGCCACUUUCCUGCAAUCGCCUCGUUGGAUCCCUUGUCGUGCUUUCGCAAGCUUGGGUCGUUGGUAAGGAGGAUGGUUUUACAUUCCUUGGGAGGCGAUCUGAGCAAGUGUAUGAAGACUAGGAUCUAAAUGAAGAAGGUACACAUCGUGGAGGAAUGCAACAAUAUUUGGGUGUCGUUGGAUUUGUUUCCAAGCAGAAUUUGUUCUCGAAUUCAAAGAACGACAGACACAUACACUUUGACCCUUAUCUAGCUUUGAUAGUGGGGUCGAGACUCUGAAUUUAGUCGAAAGGCGACUCGACUUGUGCCUCUCUCCAUGGAGCACCGGGAAAGUGUUC